Ailuropoda melanoleuca (giant panda) is the source of this 469-nucleotide long non-coding RNA. RefSeq lists it as uncharacterized. The transcript is spliced from 3 exons. The record is from RefSeq and is a predicted model, not a curated record. NCBI's taxonomy places the organism in Eukaryota, Metazoa, Chordata, Mammalia, Carnivora, Ursidae.
GCCUUUUAUUUCUGUUGUCGGCAUGCUGAGGCUAGGAAUUCCAGUGAGAGUAGAUGGUUCCUGUCUUGUUCCUGAGCACAGAGGAAAAGCUCUUAGUUUUUCCCCAUUGAGGAUGAUCUUAGCUGGGAGUUUAUUAUAGAAGGCCUUCAUGAUGUUGAGUAAGAAGAUCUGGGGUCAGGAGAGCCAGGGUCUGACCUGGCAGGUCUCAGGCCACUGUCACUGAGCUCAUUGCUCUGCCCCUCCAGGCCCGUUUCCCCACCUACACACUCACUGAGGACAGCUGGCCUGGCUGCUUUCUCUCGGAGGAACAUGUGGGCAUCUCCAGGCUCUUCCCCUGUCCUGAGCUGACUUGUAUAUCACCCAAGUAAGAAGAGAACGUAUUCUCCUUGUAAACAACUAAAACAAUGCAGAAGAUUUCAGCUUCUGGGGUCAGAGAAACUGGAGUCACCCUCCCACUUUAAAUAACCAA